UUAGUUCAAUUUAUACAUAAUAGAAGUAUUUGAUGUUGGAGAUAAGAUUGAUUCAAUCUAGUUUUAACCUUCAGUUUUAUAUUAAAAUGAUUUCAUAAGAUAUAAUGUUUUUGAAAAUAUUAUGACAAUAAUUUCCAAGACAUAUCUAGAUAUACUAUUUCUUUACAAAACAUUUGAGAAACUACCGACUAUUCAAGUCUGGAAUGUUUGACUCAAAUCGAGAGAAUCCUAUAAUCCUCAAAUUAUUUAAGAGGGGGCACUGUACUUCCUUUCAUUAGUGAAUAGACCAAACAUUGGAACAACCUAGAGCUAACCAACAAACAUUGUACGGGAAAAUCAUAUAGUAAUGUAUUAAAAUAAAUUAUUCACCUGAUUAUUAUUAUAAAUUAUUUACUUAAUAAUUACUACCUCCGUCUCAUAAUAGAUGUCGCUUUGAUUUUUUUACUUGCAACGUUUGAUCAUUCGUUUUAUUUGAAAAAUUAGUGCAAAUAUAAAAAAUGAUAAGUCAUAUUUAAAGUACUUUUAAUAAUAAAACAAGUCACAAACAAAAUAAAUAAUAAUUCUAAAAUUUUUUGAAUAAGAUGAAUGAUCGAACAUUACAAACAAAAAACUCAAAGCGAUAAGUAAUAUGGGACGGAGGUAGUAUAAGAGUAACUUAAAUAUUUAAGAAGUAAACUUAAUCAGUAGCAAAUUAAUCGACCUGCUAUUAAUUAAUGUUGGUAUUUAUGUUAAUUUCCAGAGUAGGAUCUACGGCUCAAAUUAAAGCCAUAAAUCAAGUACUUUACAAAUCUAAAUUGAAAUUAGCUCAAAUAAUUGCAGUUACAAGCUUUUGUACAAUUCACCUAUGUUCUCAAUAAAACAAGUCAGAAUUAAUUAACAAGGGCUAAAACAAUCGAACUAAAUUAUAAAGAAGAAACAUAUCAUUUUUAAAGAAACACAGUUUUAAAGACAUUGAGUAAGUAAAUUAACCUACUCAUACAGAUAGGGUGUAUGUGUGUAUGUUCAAAGGGGUGGUUGUACGCGAGUUGUGGACGCAUACGUCUAUACAGUGGUGGAUCCACUGUUGGGGCUUGUCAGUGCGCAAGUCCCAGCUCCAUGAUCCCCUUCCUCUAAUUAGCAACUAAUGACUCUAUUAGCAUUUAGUGUAAAUCCAGUAGUAUGACAAGGAAAGCUAGCUCAAGCACUCAAUGUCCAAAUUAAAUUGCAAUGUCAAAUAUGUUAUAAGUAUACCAUAUCAAUUUCUUGAUACAUUUGUGUGUAUAUAUUAAUAUAGCUGCAAAUUAAAAUGGAGAAAGCAAUGGGUUGUCUUUUGAUCAUAUGGGUUUGGGUUUCAUCGAAAAUACUUAGUUGAUAUAUCCUAGUUUGUUUCAGUCACAUUGCCCAUAUUUAUACAAAGCCCUCCCUCAAUUUAUAUCUAGAUUCGCCACUGUGUCUAUACUGUGUUUUUCUUAAAAAAAAGACGUGGAGUAAAUAAUCAUACUUAAAAACAAGGCGAGAUGAGAUGACAAAAGAUGAGAGAGAGAGUAAAAAUCACCACUUUGGCUUGUAUAUAUCCCGGCCGCCGCUUGCUGCUUUCUUCUAGUCUUCUCCAAUUAUUCGCCCAUCUCUCUCUCUCUUCUUCCUCCUCUCCUCCAUGAAAGCUAGGGAAAUUAACUAAGGGCAGUGGUGCACCACAAGUUGGUGAAGCUGCCAGCAUGAUCUGAUGAUGAUGAUGAUCCACCUCUCUCAUCUGUGUUCUUGAUUAAUUACGGAUCAAUCGAUCAGGUCAUGCUGUAGUUUCAUCUGCUGGUUGGGAGCACAGCAAAAAAAAACCCUAACUUUGUAGCCGGAUUUGCAUGGAUUAAUCUGCUAGGUAGCUCAUCAGAUUCUUUGAGAGUUUGCCUUGCUCUUCUGCAGAUGAAGACGUAAUCUUUGAACAGAUGGGAUUCUCAACUCUCAAGGUGAGGUAGUCAUCAAUCCAAUCCAUAUACCUGCUCAAAUUCAGUUUUAAUUAAAGACUAGCUGCUUCUAUGGAGUUAAUUAGGGAUCCUUUUUUAUAGAUCUCUCUUGAUCUGUUUCUUAGUCUGUUCUUUCUUAAUAAGGCAUAUAUACCUCUUGGAUUUGGAUUUUCUUGAAAAUUAAGGUAGUUUAUGAGUUGGAUGUGUUGUGUUAUCUGCCCAGCCUUAAUUUAACUGUGCUUCCUAAAAAUUCGUUUGAUUUGAUGGUAGCAUCUGAAUUGUGAACUCAUCUUUGGAGCUUGGACUUUAGACCAGGUGCCUUAAUUCCUUAACAUAAGAUUUGGUCCAUAUUGUUUAUGGAGCUUCUUAUCAAGAAAUACUCUUUUGAUUAGGGAGUCCCCUUGUCACUUUCUUCAGUUGUGCAGGUACAUAUGACAUAUCUGUAUUAAACUGAUGACAUUCAUAACCAACUGUCCAAGUAGGGAUUCAUAUCUUUCUACUAAUUGCAGAAUGUUUUCUUGGCUGAAGGAAGUUUAAUCUAACUGUUCAAGUUAGUUGCUUGGUUAGCUGAUAGUGAUCCCUGUGUUUUCUAGUUGUUGAUACUGCAUAUACAUAUAUCUGUGACAUAUGGCUAGUUCUUGUUUGUUGUGUGUAGAUAAGAUACAUACAAGAUUCUGAUCUCUGCAGCAAAAGAAACAAAGCUUCCUUUUUUCUCUUGUUUUAUCCCCUAAUAUAUCUCUUCUUUUGCAGUUCUAGCUAGCAAUUUCACUGUAAAACAUGUGUAUUACCGAUCAAUACUGGCAUAUAUCUGAACUUGAUGCAAUACAUGUGUAUUACUGAUCAAUACAUAAAACUGAAAAUGUGGAACAUAUCUGCUAAUUAUUUUCAUGAGUGUGGCUUUGAUUAUUGUGAUCUUGCCACUUGCCAGCAAUGAUGUUAGCUAGUGAUGGGAAUAUCACCUGACCAAAGGAGGGACAUGAUUAACCUUGCUAAUUAAGUAACAAGAAAAGGAGGAGGGGGCAAAAGAAUUAUGGAAUGGGUUUUCUUGACCUGAAGACAAGUAGUAAGAUUUGCUAAUGCUUGCUUGCAAGAUAUGCAUGCCUAACCACAAAACAAGGAGUUUGGCACUACAAAACUGAAUGAUGAUUGCCUCUUGCUUGAAGGAUGAAACUGCUGCCCAUCUUUUGAUCAUGGCACCCCCUUCGCAUAUGCAUGAUUGCCCACACUUUUCUCCUCUUUUGGGCUCUGUACUAUGGAGAUAUUCAAGCCAUUUUCUUGAGAUUUUCUCUGCAAUGUAAUGACCUGUUCUGUCCCUUGAUGUUUCACUUGCAAAGGAGACUGUACUACAGCAUCUCUCUCUCUAGUCUCUACCUCUCUUGAUGUUUCACUUGCAAAGGAGAUUGUACUACACCACCAUCUCUCUCUACCAAUCUCUCUCUCUCUCUCUCUAAUUAGUUGCAAGUUUUGUUGGCAUCUCUAACCACCUCUCCACACUCAUGGUCAUGGCCAUGGCUAGCACAUUUGUCACCUAGCUUGCAUUGCAUGGUCCUUUGGAAGAUUCAUGGGCCACACACACAUGGUGACAUUCAUGCAAAGCUCCAAGCAGGUCUCCUUUAUUGUGAUUUGGUCAGCUAGCUGGUUUGUUACAAGAUGCCCACAACCUUUGUCCUUUCAAUUCAAUGCAGUGUGCAGUGUGUGCCUGCAACUUUCAUAUACAUGUUGUACCAUCAUGUGUCCUCUUCCUGGCUUGCAAAAAUGUAAUGGCUAAUCACAUCCAUCAUGCUUGCAAAUUAAGCUAAUUAAUUAAUCACAGGUGGCUAGCUAAUUACCAACUGAUGAUGAUGAUUAGUGACAGGCAAAGAUGAUAAUCUAGAUAUCUUGUUCUUCUCACUACUGUCUUGUCAUUGUUGGCGUGGAGUGCAAUGCUGCCGUUUGUGUGGCUCCAGAAAGUCAUAUUCAGAUGGUUUGCAAGGAUUAGAAGUCAUGGGUGUACUGUGUGCAAAUUGAACUUGUCAGGAACAGUGACUGAAUUUUAUUGUUCAGGCUUUGCUUGUCUGAACUCAAGAAGAGGUAGAGCUAGGGUGUUAUUUUUUUUAUCUGAUUUAUGUGAUACAUAAUCAACUACCAUUCGUUUGACAGAACAAGAUUGAUAGGUGCAUGUUCAGAGAAGUUCCUUCAGGUUAAUUUCUUAUCAGCUUAAGAUUUUCCUCCUUUUUUCUCUCUAGUAGCUAAAGUACACUUGCAUGUACAAUAUAUUCAACCGGAACUUACACAGAAGAGCUAAUUUAACUUAUAGUAUAUGCAAAUUGUUCUUGUUUUUCUCAUACCUGCAUCAGAUAUUCAGAUUAGUGAUACGAGUAAUGGGCCUGUUCGGCUGCUUUGUACCGCCGCUGCCCUGCCACAGCUGGAGAAACAAUAUACCAUGCUUGUUGGCUGCACCCGAAUAGAGCCAAUACACUCAGAAUAAGUUCACUUUAGGUCCCUCAAUUUGUCACCCAGUCUGAUUUGCAUUCUCAGUCCAGAAAAACGGAUACAACGCAUCCCUCAACUUACAAAA
Oryza sativa Japonica Group (Japanese rice) is the source of this 4494-nucleotide non-coding RNA. NCBI's taxonomy places the organism in Eukaryota, Viridiplantae, Streptophyta, Magnoliopsida, Poales, Poaceae. The record is from RefSeq and is a predicted model, not a curated record.